UACAGAGGGUGCGAGCGUUAAUCGGAAUUACUGGGCGUAAAGCGUGCGUAGACGGUUAUGUAAGUCAGAUGUGAAAGCCCCGGGCUCAACCUGGGAAUUGCAUUUGAGACUGCAUAGCUAGGGUGCGGAAGAGGGAAGCGGAAUUUCUGGUGUAGCGGUGAAAUGCGUAGAUAUCGGAAGGAACACCAGUGGCGAAAGCGGCUUCCUGGUCCAGCACCGACGUUCAGGCACGAAAGCGUGGGGAGCAAACAGG
Molecule: ribosomal RNA, 253 nt
Filed under: uncultured bacterium
Lineage: Bacteria
Description: partial 16S ribosomal RNA
Rfam family: Bacterial small subunit ribosomal RNA
Source: RNAcentral